RNAcentral lists this microRNA precursor (73 nucleotides) under Bombyx mori (domestic silkworm). RNAcentral's name for it is "mir-2807 microRNA precursor family". It matches the Rfam family "mir-2807 microRNA precursor family". Lineage: Eukaryota; Metazoa; Arthropoda; Insecta; Lepidoptera; Bombycidae. The record is from Rfam by way of RNAcentral.
UUAACUCAAAUUUUUAUGGAGUUGGAACGUUUGCCGCUAGGAGCGCUGUUCAACUGUAUACAAAUUUGAGUUA